Molecule: ribosomal RNA, 603 nt
Filed under: uncultured bacterium
Lineage: Bacteria
Description: bacterial SSU rRNA
Rfam family: Bacterial small subunit ribosomal RNA (bases 1-538)
Source: RNAcentral
CCUACGGGAGGCAGCAGUGGGGAAUUUUGGACAAUGGGCGCAAGCCUGAUCCAGCAAUGCCGCGUGCAGGAUGAAGGCCUUCGGGUUGUAAACUGCUUUUGUACGGAACGAAAAAGUCUGCCCUAAUACGGUGGGCCCAUGACGGUACCGUAAGAAUAAGCACCGGCUAACUACGUGCCAGCAGCCGCGGUAAUACGUAGGGUGCGAGCGUUAAUCGGAAUUACUGGGCGUAAAGCGUGCGCAGGCGGUUAUAUAAGACAGAUGUGAAAUCCCCGGGCUCAACCUGGGACCUGCAUUUGUGACUGUAUAGCUAGAGUACGGUAGAGGGGGAUGGAAUUCCGCGUGUAGCAGUGAAAUGCGUAGAUAUGCGGAGGAACACCGAUGGCGAAGGCAAUCCCCUGGACCUGUACUGACGCUCAUGCACGAAAGCGUGGGGAGCAAACAGGAUUAGAUACCCUGGUAGUCCACGCCCUAAACGAUGUCAACUGGUUGUUGGGUCUUCACUGACUCAGUAACGAAGCUAACGCGNGAGUGCGCGNGGNGACGCGCGAGUAGAGACAGAGAGUGCGNGNGAGAGNGCGACGACGACGACGAGGGAGGAGG